This 253-nucleotide ribosomal RNA is filed under the name uncultured bacterium. RNAcentral describes it as "partial 16S ribosomal RNA". It matches the Rfam family "Bacterial small subunit ribosomal RNA", at positions 524 to 776 of the family's 1533-position model. The record is from RNAcentral.
UACGGAGGGUGCGAGCGUUGUUCGGAAUUACUGGGCGUAAAGGGCGCGUAGGCGGUCCUUCAAGUCAGGCGUGAAAGCCCCGGGCUCAACCUGGGAACCGCGCUUGAGACUGGCGGGCUAGAGUUCGGGAGAGGAUGGUGGAAUUCCCAGUGUAGAGGUGAAAUUCGUAGAUAUUGGGAAGAACACCGAUGGCGAAGGCAGCCAUCUGGACCGACACUGACGCUGAGGCGCGAAAGCGUGGGGAGCAAACAGG